This 255-nucleotide ribosomal RNA is filed under the name uncultured bacterium. Its description in RNAcentral is "partial 16S ribosomal RNA". It matches the Rfam family "Bacterial small subunit ribosomal RNA", at positions 524 to 776 of the family's 1533-position model. The record is from RNAcentral.
UACGUAGGGUGCAAGCGUUAAUCGGAAUUACUGGGCGUAAAGCGUGCGCAGGCGGUUUUGUAAGUCUGUCGUGAAAAGCCCCCGGGCUUAACCUGGGAAUGGCAAUGGAUACUGGCAGGCUAGAGUGCGGUAGAGGGUAGUGGAAUUCCCGGUGUAGCGGUGAAAUGCGUAGAGAUCGGGAGGAACACCAGUGGCGAAGGCGGCUACCUGGACCAGCACUGACACUGAGGCACGAAAGCGUGGGGAGCAAACAGG